Molecule: ribosomal RNA, 492 nt
Filed under: uncultured bacterium
Lineage: Bacteria
Description: partial 16S ribosomal RNA
Rfam family: Bacterial small subunit ribosomal RNA
Source: RNAcentral
AUUGAACGCUGGCGGCAUGCUUUACACAUGCAAGUCGAACGGUAACAGGCCUUCGGGUGCUGACGAGUGGCGAACGGGUGAGUAAUGCAUCGGAACGUACCCAGAGGUGGGGGAUAACGCAGCGAAAGCUGUGCUAAUACCGCAUGUGAUCUGAGGAUGAAAGCGGGGGACCGAGCAGCAAUGUUUGGCCUCGCGCCUUUGGAGCGGCCGAUGUCGGAUUAGCUAGUUGGUGGGGUAAAGGCCUACCAAGGCGACGAUCCGUAGCUGGUCUGAGAGGACGACCAGCCACACUGGGACUGAGACACGGCCCAGACUCCUACGGGAGGCAGCAGUGGGGAAUUUUGGACAAUGGGCGCAAGCCGGAUCCAGCAAUGCCGCGUGCGGGAAGAAGGCCUUCGGGUUGUAAACCGCUUUUGGCAGGAACGAAACGGUGUCCGCUAAUACCGGGCGCUAAUGACGGUACCUGCAGAAUAAGCACCGGCUAACUACGUG